AACGGUCUAUACCUGCGGUACCUGCGGAGGGAUCAUUAUUGAAUGGUCUCCGGGACCUUCUACCCCCUCAAAUCUGUGGAAGUGAGAAACCGUGCUUCGGCGUCCGUAGGACGUCGGUUUUAUGCUGGGAUAAGUCUUGUGGUCUGAAUCAAAAAGUUGUGAAAAUCAAAACUUUUAACAACGGAUCUCU
Molecule: unclassified non-coding RNA, 190 nt
Filed under: soil metagenome
Description: partial contains 5.8S ribosomal RNA, internal transcribed spacer 2, and large subunit ribosomal RNA
Source: RNAcentral